UACAGAGGGGGCGAGCGUUGUUCGGAAUUAUUGGGCGUAAAGGGCGCGUAGGCGGCCUUCUAAGUCGAACGUGAAAUCCCCGGGCUCAACCCGGGAACUGCGUCCGAUACUGGGAGGCUUGAAUCCGGGAGAGGGAUGUGGAAUUCCAGGUGUAGCGGUGAAAUGCGUAGAUAUCUGGAGGAAUACCGGUGGCGAAGGCGGCAUCCUGGACCAUUACUGACGCUGAGGCGCGAAAGCUAGGGGAGCAAACGGG
Molecule: ribosomal RNA, 253 nt
Filed under: uncultured bacterium
Lineage: Bacteria
Description: partial 16S ribosomal RNA
Rfam family: Bacterial small subunit ribosomal RNA
Source: RNAcentral